This 1501-nucleotide long non-coding RNA is filed under the name Musa acuminata (dwarf banana). RNAcentral describes it as "long non-coding RNA (MACU_LNC005493)". Lineage: Eukaryota; Viridiplantae; Streptophyta; Magnoliopsida; Zingiberales; Musaceae. The record is from RNAcentral.
UCUGGUCCACAGAGCGCAUGCAGUUUUCAAUUUUUCUUUUUAUAUGUACUCCUACAUAUUUUAGCAAGGUCUAAAGAAGACCACAUUUCAGAUUUCUUCAGGCAGCCAUAUUCACAGUAGAGAUGUUGUCAUAAGCAACAAGAAAAAUUAAACACAAAUGCAAAUACAUGGCCAAAUGACAAGGAGGGCAGAUACCUUCAGCUGUGAUGUUCUUGUUGGCAGAUGUAAUGCAAAGACAACGAUUGGUCUAUGGCAAUCAAUUUCGCCUUGAAAGGGUAAACAGGUUUUCUGACUUGAAUAAGCAUUACUUCAUUUUCUGUCAUCUACUCUAGAGAAUAAUUCUGCGGUGCUUUUUCAUUGACUUUUUCCUCCUCCUAUAUUGACUCUUAGGUACCACCAUUGUAUGACCAAAAUAUUAUGGCAUGAUUGUUUUUGUGCAGUUUGUAUUUAUGACCAAAAUUCAAGACUUUGUUUUUCUUCAAUGUUAGUGUUGUGUUAAUGGGAAAAACUGAUACAUGAUUUUAGAUAUGUUGUUUGAUUUUGUUUUACUUACUAUCUGGUUAUGAUGUUACAAUGAUGAACUUAUCCAUUGUUCUCUUGGUAUAUAUUCUUGUGGUGUUCUGCAUUGUUUGAAGCAAAGUGAAAUUCAUUGCUUAUGUUUAUCAUUUGUCAUGUUUGAAAACCACAAUUAUUAGUGUUUAUGUAUGGUUAUUUGAGUAUGAGCUCCUCAAGUGAUUUAUGGUUAUGUGAAUAUUAGCUCCUCAAGCUGUGAUACAAUUCUGUUGAUAUGUUCUGGCAAAAUCUUUAAUAUUUUUUAAUGAAAAAUGUUGUGCUAAGCUAAUAACAAACUUUUUGAGGACUAAGUGGUUUCGUAUAUUAAAUUUGUUUAAUACAAUUUCAUUUUCAGACUCCAUGUUCUGAAUCUUACUAUCUCUAUUCUAAAAUACCUUAGUUCAUAAAGAUUGUUCUAAAAUUUUCUGUAGGAGAAUGACUGAUAAAUCGACUGGCUGAUCCAUAGACAUUCUGAUAUGAUUGCUGCCUUGAGAAUUUUCCUGAAAGAAGUUCCUGUGGUAACUGAUUAAGAUGAUCCAAUGGAAGGUUUGAUACUUUAUGCAACAAUGCCUUUUAAGUCUCAUGUCAAGUGCCAUAUCUUUGGCUGGUAACAUCAUCUGCAAGAUUACCAAUGAGCUGUGGAUUUUUCUUACUGCAUGGCAGACCAUUAAAUGACUGCAUUUACCAACUCAAGUUACUUUUUUCUUAUAAGCUUUACAAUGAACAUAUUCUGAGAAGGGUUAGGCAUGGCGAUAGAUACACACUUCUAAGCCAGCUCCUGAAACCAAUUUAUAUGUUGAGAAUGCUUUCUGCCAUCUAUUUUUCAGACAAGACUAGUGUUUUUUUGAAGAAUGUAUUGGUCUUUUGGAAUGGUUUGUCAGGCUGCAACUUUUCUACCAACAUUUCAGAAGUCAGCUUUAUGGAGGCCAAAUUGGAUUUUGGUGAGCCG